CCUACGGGGGGCAGCAGUGGGGAAUAUUGGACAAUGGGGGGAACCCUGAUCCAGCCAUGCCGCGUGUGUGAAGAAGGCCCUCGGGUUGUAAAGCACUUUCAGUGAUGAAGAACGCCUGGUGGUUAAUACCCAUCAGGAAAGACAUCACUCACAGAAGAAGCACCGGCUAACUCCGUGCCAGCAGCCGCGGUAAUACGGAGGGUGCGAGCGUUAAUCGGAAUUACUGGGCGUAAAGCGCGCGUAGGUGGCUUGAUAAGCCGGUUGUGAAAGCCCCGGGCUCAACCUGGGAACGGCAUCCGGAACUGUCAAGCUAGAGUGCAGGAGAGGAAGGUAGAAUUCCCGGUGUAGCGGUGAAAUGCGUAGAGAUCGGGAGGAAUACCAGUGGCGAAGGCGGCCUUCUGGACUGACACUGACACUGAGGUGCGAAAGCGUGGGUAGCAAACAGGAUUAGAUACCCGGGUAGUC
RNAcentral lists this ribosomal RNA (465 nucleotides) under Vreelandella stevensii. Its description in RNAcentral is "partial 16S ribosomal RNA". It matches the Rfam family "Bacterial small subunit ribosomal RNA", at positions 338 to 795 of the family's 1533-position model. The record is from RNAcentral. Lineage: Bacteria; Pseudomonadati; Pseudomonadota; Gammaproteobacteria; Oceanospirillales; Halomonadaceae.